This 74-nucleotide transfer RNA is filed under the name Pelecanus crispus (Dalmatian pelican). It matches the Rfam family "tRNA". Rfam says of the family: Transfer RNA (tRNA) molecules are approximately 80 nucleotides in length. Their secondary structure includes four short double-helical elements and three loops (D, anti-codon, and T loops). Further hydrogen bonds mediate the characteristic L-shaped molecular structure. tRNAs have two regions of fundamental functional importance: the anti-codon, which is responsible for specific mRNA codon recognition, and the 3' end, to which the tRNAs corresponding amino acid is attached (by aminoacyl-tRNA synthetases). tRNAs cope with the degeneracy of the genetic code in two manners: having more than one tRNA (with a specific anti-codon) for a particular amino acid; and 'wobble' base-pairing, i.e. permitting non-standard base-pairing at the 3rd anti-codon position. The record is from Rfam by way of RNAcentral. Lineage: Eukaryota; Metazoa; Chordata; Aves; Pelecaniformes; Pelecanidae.
GCUGGGUUAGCUCAGUUAGUUAGAACAUGGUGCUAAUAACACCAAGUUCACAGGUUCAAUCCCUGCUUACUGCA